This 332-nucleotide unclassified non-coding RNA is filed under the name soil metagenome. RNAcentral describes it as "partial contains 5.8S ribosomal RNA, internal transcribed spacer 2, and large subunit ribosomal RNA". The stretch from base 1 to 120 matches the Rfam family "5.8S ribosomal RNA", at positions 35 to 154 of the family's 154-position model. The record is from RNAcentral.
GAUGAAGAACGUAGCGAAAUGCGAUACGUAAUGUGAAUUGCAGAAUUCAGUGAAUCAUCGAAUCUUUGAACGCACAUUGCGCCCGCCAGUAUUCUGGCGGGCAUGCCUGUUCGAGCGUCAUUUCAACCCUCAAGCACAGCUUGGUGUUGGGACUCGCGUUAAUUCGCGUUCCCCAAAUUGAUUGGCGGUCACGUCGAGCUUCCAUAGCGUAGUAGUAAAACCCUCGUUACUGGUAAUCGUCGCGGCCACGCCGUUAAACCCCAACUUCUGAAUGUUGACCUCGGAUCAGGUAGGAAUACCCGCUGAACUUAAGCAUAUCAAUAAGCGGAGGA